RNAcentral lists this ribosomal RNA (253 nucleotides) under uncultured bacterium. RNAcentral's name for it is "partial 16S ribosomal RNA". It matches the Rfam family "Bacterial small subunit ribosomal RNA", at positions 524 to 776 of the family's 1533-position model. The record is from RNAcentral.
UACGUAGGGGGCAAGCGUUGUCCGGAUUCAUUGGGCGUAAAGCGCGCGUAGGCGGCUCGGAAAGUCGGUCGUGAAAUGCCGGGGCUCAACCCCGGGACUGCGUCCGAUACUUCCGGGCUGGAGGUAGGUAGGGGAGAUCGGAAUUCCUGGUGUAGCGGUGAAAUGCGCAGAUAUCAGGAGGAACACCGGUGGCGAAGGCGGAUCUCUGGGCCUUACCUGACGCUGAGGCGCGAAAGCUAGGGGAGCGAACAGG